This 285-nucleotide long non-coding RNA is filed under the name Lathyrus oleraceus (garden pea). Its description in RNAcentral is "Pisum sativum (pea) long non-coding RNA (PSAT_LNC025025)". The record is from RNAcentral. Lineage: Eukaryota; Viridiplantae; Streptophyta; Magnoliopsida; Fabales; Fabaceae.
UUUUCUCAACUUAGAAAAGCCAUAACUAAUUGAAAAAUGCAUCAAUUCAUCUCCAAUUCUUUUCUACUUGUUCCUUGGUUUAUCUGGUUUUUUAUCAUGAUGAUUUCCAAAAUUGUGCAUGGCUGGAUUUUAUUUGGUGCUAGGUUAUGUGAUCAUGUAUCCAUUUGUGACCUUGCCUUGCUUAUCUUAUUGUGAAAUGCUUGUUUCUAAUCCAAUGAACUUGAAAUUUUGCAUGUUGAUUCUAGACACAUUGAUGGACAUUUUGGUUUUAGUUUGACAUUUUUC